Molecule: long non-coding RNA, 2964 nt
Organism: Salvia splendens (bonfire salvia)
Lineage: Eukaryota; Viridiplantae; Streptophyta; Magnoliopsida; Lamiales; Lamiaceae
Exons: 3
Source: RefSeq, a predicted model, not a curated record
UCUCGAAUUUCCACCAGCCGCCAAUUGUGCAGCCCAAGCGCGGCCAGACGACUUUGCAGGCUAAUCUCAGCUUCUCCGGCGUAGAUCUCGGUGGUGGCAUGGUCAGCGCGAUGAAGCAGGACUUGGAUCGCGGGAGCUUGGGGCUUACGGUUAAGAUUUUCUCAGUGAUUAAAUUUAGGAAUGGGAAAUGGAAGACCAAGUCUCGUUACAUGAGGGCUUACUGUCCUGGUGUGAGUUUCGGCUUUGUUUCGAGUAACAAGUCUGGCAUCUUCUUGAAUCCAUAUCAGGAAUGCCAGGUUUAUCUUUACUCCAAGUGAAAUUGAUGUAUGUUUGUUAGAUGCAUCUAUAGAGCAAGUAGUAGAUCGAUGCAAACUACCUAAAUUAACCAAUAUUAUUUCCGGUCUCAUUGGCUUUGAUUUGAUCCAUGUAUACUUCAUUAUAUGAUGCUUCUACAGUUAAAUAAAUUCUUUUAACUUGGGAUCAUUCGACCUGUUGUAGCUCACCUUUGUGCGAUUGCGAUUGAUCUUUGUUUUCAUUUCUAAAUGCGAUAAAUGAUAGCUUUUGGCUGAAGAUGUUAAGUUACAUGAGAUAGAAUCCCUGAUAAUUGAGUGUUGUUUUGUAGUUAUAUCGUGAAGUGUUUGGUUUCUAUAUGUUGCCUGGCUCUUUGUAGUCUAUAUUUCAGCUUCUAUCAUUUGCUUUAUGAACUAGCCUUUAUUUUACUUGCUAUUCAAUAUGUAUGUCAGUUCUCACUCCUUAUGAUGAAUAUAUAUUUGAACUUCGAAUUUUUUUCAUUGUGAUGAAUAUAUGAAUCAUAUGAGUAUGAUUUUUCCAAAUUCUCUCUCAUCACCGAACGAACUUAUGUGCUUUUUAUACUGAUGUGCAUCAUUAACAUGUACUUGAUUUCCUGUACAACAAUGUGCAUGGUCUCAAUGUGCGGUUCCCUUUUUAGGUCUGUUGUAAUGCCCUGAUUUUUCUGUUCAUAGUUUACUGUUUAUCAUAGUUGAAAUCAUUUUUAGUAUUUCGUGAUUGGAAAUUCAUUGGAAUAUUUAUGCAAAUAACUAUCCUUCCAUAACUGGUUACAGAUUUUGUUCUUGUCCGGGAGCAUAGUAAUUACAGAACUUCCUUAAAAAAUGCAGAACAGUUAGUUAUAAAACUGUUUUGGUCUGGCUUUCUGGUAUUGAUGAUUUUCCUUGAGAAGUGGCUUAACCCUUGGACAGCAACCGUAUCAUUGAAUUAAUUGACCUUUGUCGUGACGUUACUAACUUCCUUUACAUCAAGCUCCAUAUUUUUGGUUUCACAUAAAUUGAAACACGUGUUGCUAUCUAGUCAAUUCUAGGUUUACGUCAAGUCUGGCGAAUAAAUGUAACGUGUAAUAGGUUGUGCUAUCAUCAUUUAUCAUACAAAUAUGUGCCAGGGGUUCCACUGAAAAAAAUUAACACAUCACUGCUUUCAUGGACAAUAAAAAUUUCCUUCAUGUUUUUUCAGGUUCAUUUAAAUUUCUAAUUAGCUUUAAUAGAGUCUAUCAAGGGAAAUAGUAGAAUAAAAAGCUUAUUAUUAUUCAUAAGUUUUUUCCCUGAAACCUGUAGAUUGAUAGUAGGUUGGUUAUUUACAAAGAUAAAAACUUAUGGCUUGCCACAUCUCGCCAUAUUAUCUGUUAAUGCAGCAUAGUCCUUUUUGUGAGUCUAUUUGCCAAUGAAGCAUGUAGGCAUUUACUCACAUGAUGGUCCAAUAUAUUUACAAUACAAAACUUAUAUGUUAAUAUAUUGUUCCUUCAACUGAAUCAAAGCUAAGGUUCAGAUUUGAUUACAUGAUCUCUUUCAUUAUCUGUGAGUUGAUUGCAUUGUUUGGAAAUAACUUAAGUUUUUUGUUGUAAAAAAAAGAAAAGAAGAACGAGAUUCUCAACGUUUACUAUUGUUUGCAUGAAAAUGUUUAUCCUCCAAACCUACAUUGUAGUCUUGGUUAUAUAAGUGCUGUCAAUUCAUGAUUCUAUUCUUCUUCAGUAGUAAUCAAAUGCAGGCACAUCUUCUUCUAUUGACAAGUCAUUGAAAGGGAUAUGAUCAUGAAACAUCUUGGUUUGUACUUCAAACAAGAGAAAUAUUAUACACCUAACUUAUUCCUCAAAAUCUAGCAUGGCGUUUCCAUCACUACAUGGUAAUAAGCUUCGCAAUCAGGCUGUUUGUGAAUAAAUCAAUUACAAUUAUCAGUUGGUGAGCGGAGUUAGAGCCUGCAUUUUUAAAUACAAAUGGAGAGUUCCAAAAAAAACUUUAGUGGUCCUAUGCCCUUUCUCAAAUAUUAUGUGUUUAUCUUAGUUUCAAGGAGUAAUUCGGAUAACUUACUCCUAGUUAUUGACUGACAAUUUCGGUUGAUGGAAGGCUGAGCAGUUGCAAAAUUUCCAGCGUCGUAUUUUUAUACUAUGGUGAGGAAGGAGGACAAUUUUCCUGCUUCUCAAUUUUGUAACAGCCCUUCAAUUCUCUCAAGCCAUUUCAUUUUACGGUGGUAUGGAAAAUGUUAGUAUGUUUCCUAUUAUAGCUUUGCGAAAGAGGUAAACCAUGGUCUAUGUAUGCUAUCCAUGUAGCUGAGUUAUCCAUCGUGCUGUUUACUGAGUUUCUUGUGCACCUCUAAAAUGACUUGGAUUUGCACGAGUUUUAUCUGAACUCGUUGGAUUGAUUCUGCAUGGCCAAUCGAAAGAAGCAGAUCAGAGGUUGAUAGAUUGAGAGUGAAGAUCCAUGUUUGAAGAAUGUAGUUGUGGAAUGAUCUUCAUCAUCUCAUUAUGCUGUUGGUUGAAACCAUCAGAUUUUGUUGGAGCUUUACCGAGCCAAAGAUGAUUAAUAGGCUUAUUUCUUGAAAGGUUAUAUGCAUCUAAUACAUUAGCACUCUAUAUUUUUUAUUGAUUGUUAAUGUAUCAAAAUCUUACUUCCUUUCUUUAUCUUUUUAAUUAACUAUUCCAAGUUCUAGAGAAGCUAA